Saimiri boliviensis boliviensis (Bolivian squirrel monkey) is the source of this 7482-nucleotide non-coding RNA. The record is from RefSeq and is a predicted model, not a curated record. Lineage: Eukaryota; Metazoa; Chordata; Mammalia; Primates; Cebidae.
GUGAUUCCCAGGGGGUUCCCAUAGAAACGCUUUUCUCCGGUCCAGUCUGAGGGGUCUGAGGUUGGCGGCGAUGGGCAGCAGCGGCGGGUGGCCUUGGCUUUUGCUGCAGCCGUCAACGACCUGUCAUCGGGGUCCUGCGUAAGGUCCGGCUGGCUGGGGCUUGGCUGUGGGUGGGAUGGACUGGCUGCCGGACCGAGUCCCCUGCAGUUGGCAGGAGUAUGAGGCGGAGUGAUGCACACCCGGGCGCCCAGCAUCCUUCUAAUUGCCGAAGACGUUGCCUCGGACUGUGCGCUGCCAGGGGCUGCGUUCCUGAGCAGGAAGCCCGUUUCCUGGGGUUGGAACUACCCUACUUGUCCAGCGGGAGGUCCCCAAGGACGGAGUCGAAAGGUCAAAUCUUAUCUGUCAGUGCUGUGUGACAGCAUCGCGACGGGAUCUGCAGAACCUGAACUCGAUCCGUAAUGCCUCCUGCCUGCCUCUUUCAAGAUGGAGGAGAAACCUGUGGGAGAACCUACUCAAGUGGUGUCUAAAUUCAAACUUUCCACCAAGGUAGAAAGUACGGGACACUGGCUGGUGGAAGAUCAUGCUCGAAUAUGGGAAGUUUUAAAGACAGAGGAGAGCUCGAUUCAGGACUGGGGUGAAGAGGUAGAGGAAGGAGCUGUUUACCAUGUCACCCUCAAAAGAGUCCAGAUUCAACAGGCUGCCAAUAAAGGAGCAAGAUGGCUGGGGGUUGAAGGGGACCAGCUGCCUCCAGGACACACAGUCAGUCAAUACGAGACCUGUAAGAUCAGGACCAUAAAAGCUGGUACCUUGGAGAAGCUUGUGGAGAACCUGCUGACAGCUUUUGGGGACAAUGACUUUACCUAUAUCAGCAUCUUUCUGUCAACGUACAGAGGCUUUGCCUCCACUAAAGAAGUGCUGGAACUGCUGCUGGACAGGUAUGGAAACCUGACAAGCCCAAACUGUGAAGAAGAUGGAAGCCAAAGUUCAUCAGAGUCCAAAAUGGUGAUCAGGAAUGCAAUCGCUUCAAUACUGAGGGCCUGGCUUGACCAGUGUGCAGAAGACUUCCGAGAGCCCCCUCACUUCCCUUGCUUACAGAAACUGCUGGAUUAUCUCACACGGAUGAUGCCGGGCUCUGACCCAGAAAGAAGAGCACAGAAUCUUCUUGAGCAGUUUCAGAAGCAAGAAGUGGAAACUGACAAUGGGCUUUCCAACACGAUCUCCUUCAGCCUGGAAGAGGAAGAGGAACUGGAGGGUGGAGGGUCAGCAGAAUUCACGUGCUUCACAGAAGAUCUCGUGGCAGAGCAGCUGACCUACAUGGAUGCCCAACUCUUCAAGAAAGUAGUGCCUCACCACUGCCUGGGCUGCAUCUGGUCUCGAAGAGAUAAGAAGGAAAACAAACAUUUGGCUCCUACGAUCCGUGCCACCAUCUCUCAGUUUAAUACCCUCACCAAAUGUGUUGUCAGCACCAUCCUGGGGGGCAAAGAACUCAAAACUCAGCAGAGAGCCAAAAUCAUCGAGAAGUGGAUCAACAUCGCUCAUGAAUGUAGACUCCUGAAGAAUUUUUCUUCCUUGAGGGCCAUCGUUUCGGCACUGCAGUCUAAUUCCAUCUAUCGGUUAAAAAAGACUUGGGCUGCCGUCCCAAGGGAUCGAAUGCUGAUGUUUGAAGAACUUUCAGAUAUCUUCUCAGACCAUAACAACCAUUUGACCAGCCGAGAGCUACUGAUGAAGGAAGGAACCUCAAAAUUUGCAAACCUGGAUAGCAGUGUGAAAGAAAACCAGAAGCGUACCCAGAGGCGGCUGCAGCUCCAGAAGGACAUGGGUGUGAUGCAGGGAACCGUGCCCUACCUGGGCACCUUCCUGACCGACCUGACCAUGCUUGACACUGCCCUGCAGGACUACAUCGAGGGUGGACUGAUAAACUUUGAGAAAAGGAGAAGGGAAUUUGAAGUCAUUGCCCAGAUAAAGCUCUUACAGUCGGCCUGCAACAGCUAUUGUAUGACCCCAGACCAAAAGUUCAUCCAGUGGUUCCAGAGGCAGCAGCUCCUGACAGAGGAGGAGAGCUAUGCCCUGUCAUGUGAGAUUGAAGCAGCUGCCGACACCAGCACCACCUCGCCAAAGCCUCGGAAGAGCAUGGUGAAGAGACUCAGCCUGCUGUUUCUGGGGUCUGACUUUAUCACCAGUCCCACUUCCACCAAGGAGCAGUCCAAGUCCACUGCCAGCGGGAGCUCUGGCGAAAGCAUGGAUUCUGUCAGCGUGUCGUCCUGCGAGUCGAACCACUCAGAGGCGGAGGAGGGCUCCAUGACUCCCAUGGACACCCCUGAUGAGCCUCAAAAAAAGCUCUCUGAGUCCUCCUCAUCCUGCUCUUCCAUCCAUUCCAUGGACACAAAUUCCUCAGGGAUGUCUUCCUUAAUCAACCCCCUCUCCUCGCCUCCGUCCUGCAACAACAACCCCAAAAUCCACAAGCGCUCUGUCUCGGUGACGUCCAUUACCUCGACUGUGCUGCCUCCCGUUUACAACCAACAGAACGAAGACACCUGCAUCAUCCGCAUCAGUGUGGAAGACAACAACGGCAACAUGUACAAGAGCAUCAUGUUGACGAGCCAGGAUAAGACCCCCGCGGUGAUCCAGAGAGCCAUGCUGAAGCACAAUCUGGACUCAGACCCCGCCGAGGAGUACGAGCUGGUGCAGGUCAUCUCGGAGGAUAAAGAACUUGUGAUUCCAGACUCAGCAAACGUCUUUUAUGCCAUGAACAGCCAGGUGAACUUUGACUUCAUUUUGCGCAAAAAGAACUCCAUGGAAGAACAAGUGAAACUGCGUAGCCGGACCAGCUUGACUUUGCCCAGGACAGCUAAACGGGGCUGCUGGAGUAACAGACACAGCAAAAUCACCCUCUGAAGGGAGGGACCCAUGGCCCCUUGUUUGCUAAAGGCAGAGCGGGGCUGAGAACAGGCUGUGGUGAUUGCAAUUACCAUCCAGUGUUCAAGGAUCAUGGGUGAAGUCAGCAGAUAUUUAUUCAGUUCCUGUGGUGUGCAAAGCACUAUGAUAGGCAUUGUGGGGAAAUUGGAAGUGAAUUUGACAUGAAGAGGGUGAACGAUUCACUGAUUCUCUGACUUAUUUCAGACUAAAAUGCAGAAUUACCCACACUUAAAAUAUAUAUAUGCACACAUGUUUGGUAUGUAUGUGUAUAUAUAUAAAAAUAUGUAAGAGGGACUUUAUGGGAUAUUAUGGACUAUGGAAAACCAAAUUUGCACAAUGGCCUGGGAAGUUGAGGUCACUUUUUACAGGGAAAUAGAAGAAACUGAGAACCUAGUCUCAUAUUCUUCCGAGUAAAUGGAGUCAGUCCUGGGAAUAGAGAGUGUCCUUUGUGCCAGUAUUACAAGAAGCCCAAACUUUAUUUUUAUAAAGGGAGAGGAUGACUUUCUCAAUCAAGUGCCACCAGAUAAAACAACUGCAGAGGCUGGAACUGCCACAGGCUGCAUGAAAGGCCACUUUGGAAGGGGUUUGGAUGAGCCAGUGGCCUUCAACCUCUGCCUGCAUCCGCCACUUUCUGCUACCCCAGGGAGGCCAGGAGGAGCUUCGGAGGCCCAUCGCCCCACUGGCCUAGCCAUCACAAUGCCUCUGGAAGUGCCAAGCUCCUGAAACAAACUCAUUUCAGUUUCUGGCAACCCCUUGUAUUUCUGUUUCUCCCUUAAAGAACAUAUCAUAAUCAUUGCACAAAUAACGAUGUUCUUUGGUAACGUAGCCAGAAAAGAAAGCGUGAAAGAACAGUGACUUAUCUGGACUCUUAUCUGUCUUGGAAUGUCACUAUUUCAUUGCCUUCUCUGAUUGCCUUUUGCAUGUAAAACUAUGUGUCUGGAGUCUUUGGCCAUCUGGAUCCAAGUACCUCUAUAUUAUGUGCAAUUUGUUCCUCAGGUGUGGAAAUUUCUACUGCGGUUGACAUUUGAUCAUUUUGAGCCUGUGAAAGAUUUCUGAAUGGUGAUUGCCCUGUUAGUAGCCCCUCAAAAGAUGUUCCGUGCUGAUAACAGCAUUCUAUUUUACUUAUUAACUUUUAUAGCAUUACUGUGCCUAGUCAUGAGGAAAGAGAUGGGGCUGCACAUAUUAUCUGAAUCAUUUCUCAAAGAGGUACAUUCUUCCAGAUGGAAUCAAUAACUUUUUUUGUUCAGGUUCCCAUGCUUGCUAUCACAGUAUGACUGCUAAGCGACAUUUUUGUCUCUCAUAACACCAUCACACUCUUCCUUCCAAGUCUGAGCUGUGCUAGGGCUUGAACUAAAAGCCAUAUGUGGAAUAUUGACAUGUGUAAGAAGCACUUUCAGAAUGUUGUCCCUCAAGAAAUAAUUCUCAAAAUGCCAGUUUUUAUUCCAAAAAUAAAGAGAACAAACCCAGAAUAUGGAGUGCACAUUGUAACAUGGAGCUACUUUCCCCCUAAUCUCAUAAUACAGCUCCUAAAAGUUGUGUGGGAUAUGUGUUAUGUGAACAGCCAUGUGAAUUCCGCAAGAAACACCAGGGAAAGUUUAGAGGUUUGUGGCAAUGGACCGAAGAGUGGGCCAGGAAGCCCUCCGAUUUCCUUUGGUCUUUCCAGGAGAUUGGGCUACAUGUUGUAAAGACAGCGACUGGGUUUCAGCUAGUCAGAAAGCACUUUGUUUUCAAUGCUUGUUCAAUUUGUGCUUCUGUGCUUGGAGGAGAGAUGGCCAGGGUGGCAGCCCUCAUGCAGACUGAAGCAUUUGUAGCCUCAGCCCGGCAUUCUUGGUGUGAAGGAACUGGGCCUGGGGACAUUUUGCCUGAAGGAAUAUUGUCUUAAACCUGUCUUCUCUGGAGCAUUUGCAACUUACAAGUCAUGUAGUCAGUGGCCUGUUAUUACAGAUACGGGGCUGAGGCGCAGACCAGUUAAGUUGCCCUAGUUUAGGGACAGAGCUCCGGAUCAUCAGCCCCACUCUGAACCUAUACAGUGGGCCGGGCACGGAAUGGAGGAGGCUCUCCUGACAGACACCCCACAGCCUCCCGGAGCUGGAGAGAAUCCCUGAGAUAUGCGGGCUCCAUCCCAGCCUUCCCGUCACGUGAAUUCACACAAACUGCCUCCCUCAGCUGGGCACCUGGGGAUAAGGGUUUGACAUCCAUGUUUCUGCCAGGACACAGAGACUCUGACGUGUUAUAUACAAGAGAACAAAGAGCUCCGCUUUUACUGAGGACAAAAGAUAAAAUGAACUGGAGGCAGCACAGGAAAUCUCAACAGCUAAAAUGAAGACAAUCUGCUGAAGAGAUCACCCAGCAACUGAGAGAAGGGGCCAAGGUCAGAGCCUGCGCUGCUCCAUUAAUGAAUUUAGGAGUCAUUCAUUGAUGAUUCAGGAGCUGCUGUUAUGUGUAGCUGCUGUUAUGUGUAGCAUUUGGACUAGGAUCUAAGGACACAGAGGCGUAAGACUGUUCCUGCCCCAAAGGGUUUGUAGUUUAUUGGGGAGACUGACCGGUAAACCAAUCAUUGCUACACCUUUUGCUAAGAGCUACGUCAGGGGAAGCUCCUGGGCUAUGGGAGCCCUGAGCAUCACAGUGCCUUCUUCCAUUGACAUCAUGCUCAGGUAUCACGUCCACAUGCCCUGACCCUCUUACACACCCUUAUGAUCCCAGGAAUCACAAUAUAUUGUCAUGAUUUGUUCAUGAGUCUCAAUUCCUGAACGGAUUGUGAGCUCUGCAAAGAUGGGUACCUCUGCCUAGCCAACAGUACACACAAUGACCUGAGCCAGAGGAACUGGAAAUUUUGAGGUGCUUAGGAAGACGUCCUUCACCUUGAGGAGCAUCAGGUUAUGGAAGUAAGAAGAGCAAAGACAAGGGGACCAAGCACAUUACAUUCAGUUCAACUACAAACUGGGUAUUACAAGAAUCACUGGGCAGGACACCCACUAUCUCUGCCUCACCUUCCCAUCUAUACAAAGGGAUAAUCACCUGAGUCAGGCUCUCUUAAUAUUAAUAAUGAGAAGAUCAUUUAGGAAGGCAGUACACUUUAGAAAAUAUCAAGAACUACCAGAAUCGGAGAGCAUAAUUCAUGAAGAGGCUGUGCCCAAGAGAGGGCAGGCAGUUCGGGGAGACUCACACAGGAUGCUUGUUGUACAUGAUUGGCAGAAACUCAUCCACUGGCAGCAUCUUCCCAAAAGGAUUGGCUCCAACCAGCUUCUGUGCCCCUUCCAGAGAGAUGACGUAGCCCAGGGUCCAGUAGGAAUAGUCGGCUUCGACCAGGUUUUCCACACUGGGCACUGCUUUCUCUGGCUCCUUGACUUGCAUCCUCUUCCUACCAAUAUAACUACAUGGAAACAGCAGGGGAGAAAAAUUCCACCUUGAAUAUUAGGCUGGGAUAAGGAUGGAGCACAGCUUUGGUUUACAUAGAUACUUUUGCAAUCCUGGACUGUCUGUCAUUAAAUGACGUUUCACGUCCCCAAGUGGAUCCUGUCACCAGUCAUGACUGCCAUCUGCCAUCACUGGGGCCAUUUUUCUGGCUUCAUUUACCAGCACCCCCACUAUACCUGUCUAGUGGACUGUUUUCAAGCCAGAAAGUAAGACGUAGUGAGAUUAAAAGAUCUUUCAGCUCAUUUAUCAAAGAUGGGAUGGGGUUUCAUGUUGUUUACAGAGGUUGGAAAGGCACAAAAAAGGCCAGAUGGGAGAAUCCUGAACCUGCUGUCUUCAGGUCCCCAGAGUUAGCAGCCUCGGGUGCCUUCUGCACAGGGCUGAAAAAGCUGGGGGAAAGUGUCAGUCUGCAGAACCCCGGAGCGGCCGAAGGGGUUUCUCCUGGGGAAUAUGAAUGACAGCUCCUGACAGACAUUCUCCUGCCUCACACUCGCCAGCUGUGACCAGGCUUCCUCCUGACACGCUGCUCCAAGAAAGGCCCCCAGGCACCUUCUGUCCUCCGUGAAUAACUUCUGCAAUGUGGGGUGCCCCUUGGGCCGCUCUUCCCUAGUCUACCCAUGGACCCAUGCUCCAUCACUUUUGUCUGGAACCUGCAGGUAUGGGCUUGACGGGAGCUGCCUGCUUCUUGCCUGCUGGGUAAAGCAGGACUUCCUCUAUUUUACCCUAAAACAACCUCUUUCAACAGUCAAGGGAUUCCCUCUUGUCAAAGCAUCCCAGAAUUUAUAGAACAAGUCUAUGUUCAAAUGUCAGUUCUAAGGACAGCAAACAUACAUCCCCAACCACUGUCUCUUCAGAUUACAGAGUCUGAUCUUUUCUGGUGUCUCAUCCACUGGAAGGGAAACUUUUAUGGAGCACUUGGGAGGUACUAGAGUGAUAGGGGCUAUAAAGUCAAGAGUUAAUGCUCUAACUUUAAUUAAUUUAAUUUUAAAUGUUGAAGCUAUGUGAAAUAUAUAUAUAUUUUCACGAAACAAGUUGUUUUGGUAGGACUAUAGUUUAACAGCUGUAAAUUUAGCUUCUGGAUUUAGAUGUGUUCUAGGUGUAAAAUACAUACCAGAUUUUGAAGACUUGGUAUGAAAAAAAAAGAGAAGGGAA